Molecule: ribosomal RNA, 774 nt
Filed under: Anaeromyces contortus
Lineage: Eukaryota; Fungi; Neocallimastigomycota; Neocallimastigomycetes; Neocallimastigales; Neocallimastigaceae
Description: eukaryotic LSU rRNA
Rfam family: Eukaryotic large subunit ribosomal RNA
Source: RNAcentral
UUUUUUUUAUCCCCAAUAGCGGAGGAAAAGAAACUCACAAGGAUUCCCCUAGUAACGGCGAGUGAAGCGGGAAGAGCUCAAAUGUGAAAUCUUAAAGGGUUUCCCUAUACGAAUUGUAGUUUAAAGAAGUGUUUUCUGUUGGAGUUUCGGUAAAAGUUCUUUGGAAUAGGACAUCAUAGAGGGUGAGAAUCCCGUAUUUGACCGUUACUUUCCAGCUGUGUGAUACACUUUCAAAGAGUCGGAUUGUUUGGGAACGCAGUCCAAAAUGGGUGGUAAAUUUCAUCUAAAGCUAAAUAUUGGCGAGAGACCGAUAGCGAACAAGUACCGUGAGGGAAAGAUGAAAAGAACUUUGAAAAGAGAGUUAAACAGUACGUGAAAUUGUCAAAAGGGAAGCGUUUGACACCAGUGUUGUUUAGUUGAAAAUCAAUUCAAUAAUUUUUGAUUUUGAGUAGUAUUGACUUCAUCAGCUUGCUGCUUUCUUUUCAGAAAUUAUAGAAUGCACUUUUCAGUUAACAAGUCAACAUCAAUUUCUUUUGUUGUAAAAGGGUAAGAGGAAGGUGGCUUACGCUUCGGCGUAAGUGUUUAUAGCCUUUUACCUCCGCAAUCGGAGAGAUUGAGGACAGCAGCGUAGACUCUUCGGGGUUAGAUACACUUGUGCUAAGCUAUAGCCUUGUAUAGACAACUUGUUGACUAUGCUCAGUCAUGUAGCUUACUCGCUUGUGCUAUUUUACCUACACUUAGGAUGUUGACAAAAUGGGUUUAAACGACCCGUCU